This 198-nucleotide ribosomal RNA is filed under the name Triticum aestivum (bread wheat). Its description in RNAcentral is "partial small subunit ribosomal RNA". Lineage: Eukaryota; Viridiplantae; Streptophyta; Magnoliopsida; Poales; Poaceae. The record is from RNAcentral.
AUGGAGCUGGAGGCGCCGUCGCCGGCGAGGUACCUGCUGGGCGCGGCGAUCAUGAUGGCCGGCGUCGUGCUCCCGCUCGCCUACAUGAUCUUCCGCAGCAAGCGCUCCUCCUCCUCCGCCGCGGCCUCCGUCUCCUCCAUCGCCUCCGCCGCCCCCUCCUCCUCCUUCUCCAAGCAGACGAACAAGGGCCUCUUCUGA